Molecule: ribosomal RNA, 283 nt
Filed under: Spodoptera frugiperda (fall armyworm)
Lineage: Eukaryota; Metazoa; Arthropoda; Insecta; Lepidoptera; Noctuidae
Description: partial small subunit ribosomal RNA
Source: RNAcentral
UAGGAUUAGAUACCCUAUUAUUAAAAUUUAAAUUAAAAAUACUAAAAUAGUAGGUAAUUAUUUAUUGAAACUUAAAUAAUUUGGCGGUAUUUUAGUUCAUUUAGAGGAAUCUGUUUAAUAAUUGAUAAUCCACGAAUAAAUUUACUUAAUUUUUUAUUUUGUAUAUCGUUGUUAAAAAAAUAUUUUUUAAUAAUAAUAAUAUUUAAAAAUUUUGAUUAAAAAUUAAAUCAGAUCAAGAUGCAGAUUAUAGUUAAGAAUAUAAUGGAUUACAAUAAAUUUAUUU